GUUGGAUUUGUCUUUCUGUACUGUACUUGCAAAAUAAUUGGAUUCAGACGCCUAUAUCUGUGACAGCUGGGUAAAGCACAGAUGGCUAAACCUUUCUGUCAAUAGAGAACAGGUAAGGAUAAUGAAACAAGAUUUCCAUGCAAUAAGUGUGCUGAAAUAACCAGAAAAUUCCAAAGACUGGAAAAAGAAGAUCAUUCCCAAAAAGUGCCCCAGCAUCACAGUAACCCACGCUCAGGCUCGCAGUGCAGGGAGACACACAC
Molecule: long non-coding RNA, 260 nt
Organism: Lepidothrix coronata (blue-crowned manakin)
Lineage: Eukaryota; Metazoa; Chordata; Aves; Passeriformes; Pipridae
Exons: 3
Source: RefSeq, a predicted model, not a curated record